Molecule: ribosomal RNA, 459 nt
Filed under: uncultured bacterium
Lineage: Bacteria
Description: partial 16S ribosomal RNA
Rfam family: Bacterial small subunit ribosomal RNA
Source: RNAcentral
CCUACGGGGGGCAGCAGUGAGGAAUAUUGGUCAAUGGGCGCGAGCCUGAACCAGCCAAGUAGCGUGAGGGAAGACGGUCCUAUGGAUUGUAAACCUCUUUUGUCGGGGAGCAACAGACGCCACGCGUGGCGUUCCGAGUGUACCCGAAGAAUAAGCAUCGGCUAACUCCGUGCCAGCAGCCGCGGUAAUACGGAGGAUGCGAGCGUUAUCCGGAUUUAUUGGGUUAAAAGGGUUCUCAGGAGGAUGAUCAAGUCGGCGGUAAAAGUGAGAGGCUCAACCUCUUCGAGCCGUUGAAACUGGUUUUCCUGAGUGGGUGACAAGUAUGCGGAAUUCGUGGUGUAGCGGUGAAAUGCAUAGAUAUCACGCAGAACUCCGAUUGCGAAGGCAGCAUACCGGCGCUCAACUGACGCUGAUGCACGAAAGUGUGGGUAUCGAACAGGAUUAGAUACCCGAGUAGUC